UCCAUGAUCCCUGAGUGCCUAGGUGGGGCGG
Molecule: small RNA, 31 nt
Filed under: Bombyx mori (domestic silkworm)
Lineage: Eukaryota; Metazoa; Arthropoda; Insecta; Lepidoptera; Bombycidae
Description: ovarian small RNA-26988
Source: RNAcentral